UCAAAGAUGAAAGAUGGGGAAGAAAACCGCUAGGCUCGGUAGUGAAUACAGGCUCGAGUGCUUCAAAACCAAACCAAUUAUCAUGGCAUCAAGGACAGCACUCUAGCUAUUCUAAAAACCUGAAGAGAAAAAGCAUGAGACAUAAAACACACUCAUGCGACAUUCUCCUCUUUAGCAGCUACUAAGCAAAAAAAGGAAAUGACCCCCCAUCUAUUCUGCAGACACAGGAACGAUAAGAAGGGAUUGUUUUCGGUUUAAGUGGUUAUACAAUAAUGGUUGUUGAAGCAACAAUAGAAAAGCUUGUUCUUGCGCGGUAACCUUCACAUUUAUUCAUUCUUUUGACUGCUUCUCCUCACAAAUACUAUCUCUGGACCGGUUGAUUUUGGGUCAUUUCCCAAUACUGGUUGAAGCCUUACCUCGUAGCGUUCAAGUAAUGAAGCGAACAAAGUGGCAACUCCUUGCAUUACAAAUUUCUGACCCACACACACACGUGUACCAGAACCAAAGGGAAGAAAUGCUGCAUUGUCAUUUGGAUCAUUCAAAAUGAAUGAGCUCCGAGUUGGGUCAACAGCACCUUCAGAAACCUCUGUAAAUGAAUUAUCCUGCUCUGAAUGAGAAACCUUUCCAACUUUUGACAAAAACCGGUAUGGAUUAAAUUUGCUAGCAUCACUGCC
RNAcentral lists this unclassified non-coding RNA (674 nucleotides) under Hevea brasiliensis (rubber tree). The record is from RNAcentral. Lineage: Eukaryota; Viridiplantae; Streptophyta; Magnoliopsida; Malpighiales; Euphorbiaceae.